UACGUAGGGGGCUAGCGUUGUCCGGAUUUAUUGGGCGUAAAGAGCGUGUAGGCGGCCAGGUAGGUCUGCUGUGAAAACUCGAGGCUCAACCUCGAGACGUCGGCGGAAACCAUCUGGCUAGAGUCCGGAAGAGGAGAGUGGAAUUCCUGGUGUAGCGGUGAAAUGCGUAGAUAUCUGGAGGAACACCGGUGGCGAAGGCGGCGUUCUGGACUGCUACUGACACUGAGGAACGAAAGCCAGGGGAGCAAACGGG
RNAcentral lists this ribosomal RNA (253 nucleotides) under uncultured bacterium. RNAcentral's name for it is "partial 16S ribosomal RNA". It matches the Rfam family "Bacterial small subunit ribosomal RNA", at positions 524 to 776 of the family's 1533-position model. The record is from RNAcentral.